CCCUAUCACCACCACCACCGCCGGAAGAUGAGGGGUCGAGGUUAAGGACUAAAAGCGAUGUGAGAGGUUCUUCGCUAUAUUUCCUUUCUCUUCUUCUUUUUUGUCCAGGCAGCAAUAGAUGACCUUCGCGCGUUCUCUUCUAUCCCACUGUUCUGAGCAUAUCGGGCGAACAGCACCUCACGCAGAGACGCUCUGCUGAAAUUGGUGCCGAGGUUUCAGAUCGCAUAAAGCAAGAAGCCUGUGGUCAUUGCCAUCAUUGUCUUUCGUAGAAGAAGAGGGUACUUUUGCAUUCUACUUCAGUUCCAUUUGCGGUCAUGACAAUGUUAUGUCUAAUGCUGCUACUACUGCCGCUGCAAGAAACACAAGGUCGGAAGGACGAUAUGGCGGAGACGGCGCGUCUUUUCACUACACACCAAGAGCUGUAUUUCACCAAUAUGACGACAAAAACACCAGAUGAUCUCGUACCGGCAGACACGUUCAUCCCAGCAGCCACCGUUGAAGGAACAGCGACGCACCCAAACUUGGACAAAAUCCUGGAAAUGAUGGGUCUGGGGAGCAAAACGAAACGCAAUCAGAGCGUUGAGGAUACAGCUUCUAAAGCACUGUCUGAGUUCCAAGAUGAUGAUGGUUGGGAUACCAAUAGUUCAAUUUCCCUCCCCAUUUCGAGGACAAAGAAGGUGGUUCUGGGACUUGUUGGCAGCACGAUCGUGGUCACGGUAACUGGCUUCGUACUACGAGCCUUCAAGCCAUUCCUCGCUAAGGCGUUCAGAAGCACCCAAAGCCGAAUCCUGGCGCGGAUACCUGGAGUUACAAGGAGGCACGGGGAGGAUACAACUGACCUCCUCAAUAGCAGUGUGAGUGCUUCGACUACCGCUCCACCUACCAAAGGAAGAAACAAAUGGAAAAUUCCGUUCCCCAGGAAACACUGCACGAUUACGGACAGCACAGCGCAUACCAGUAUGGCUUAGGACACUUUCUAGAAAUACGUUAGACGACAACCCUACGCGAACAGAAAUUGUCGUCGGAAUAAAAUAUUCAUAUCAUUACUGCUUAAAUUGAAUUGUGAAU
Long non-coding RNA from Ornithodoros turicata, 1068 nucleotides. RefSeq lists it as uncharacterized. The transcript is spliced from 3 exons. The record is from RefSeq and is a predicted model, not a curated record. Lineage: Eukaryota; Metazoa; Arthropoda; Arachnida; Ixodida; Argasidae.